Molecule: ribosomal RNA, 464 nt
Filed under: uncultured bacterium
Lineage: Bacteria
Description: bacterial SSU rRNA
Rfam family: Bacterial small subunit ribosomal RNA
Source: RNAcentral
GGGCCCGCACAAGCAGUGGAGUAUGUGGUUUAAUUCGAGGCAACGCGAAGAACCUUACCAGGGUUUGACAUCCAGCGCUAGGGCUAGAGAUAGUUUGUUCUCUUCGGAGACGCUGAGACAGGUGGUGCAUGGUUGUCGUCAGCUCGUGUCGUGAGAUGUUCGGUUAAGUCCGGCAACGAGCGCAACCCCUGUUGCCAGUUGCCAUCAUUGGGUUGGGCACUUUGGCGAGACUGCCGUUGACAAAACGGAGGAAGGUGGGGAUGACGUCAAAUCAUCAUGCCCCUUAUAUCCUGGGCUACACACGUACUACAAUGGGCGCAGACAGCGGGCAGCGAAGCGGCGACGCGGAGCGAAUCCUGAAAGGCGCCCUCAGUUCGGAUUGCAGGCUGCAACUCGCCUGCAUGAAGCCGGAAUUGCUAGUAAUGGCAGGUCAGCAUACUGCCGUGAAUACGUUCCCGGGCCUU